AGCGAACGUUUGCGGCGGGCUUAACACAUGCAAGUCGAACGGGCUGUUCCUUCGGGGCAGGUCAGUGGCGGCACGGUGCGUAACACGUAGGUAAUCAACCCUUCAGCUCGGGAUAACACUUCGAAAGGAGUGCUAAUAGCGGAUGUGACGCGGUGCUCUUCGGAGUGUCGCGGGAAAGAUCCGCAAGGGUCACUGAAGGACGAGCCUGCGGCCCAUCAGCUUGUUGGUGAGGUAACGGCUCACCAAGGCGAAGACGGGUAGCUGGUCUGAGAGGAUGAUCAGUCACACUGGAACCUGAGACACGGUCCAGACUCCUACGGGAGGCAGCAGUGGGGAACUAUUGCGCAAUGGGCGAAAUGCCUGACGCAGCCAACGCCGCGUGAGCGAUGAAGGCCUUCGGGUCGUAAAGCUCUGUGGGGGUAGG
Molecule: ribosomal RNA, 424 nt
Filed under: uncultured bacterium
Lineage: Bacteria
Description: bacterial SSU rRNA
Rfam family: Bacterial small subunit ribosomal RNA
Source: RNAcentral